Molecule: ribosomal RNA, 154 nt
Filed under: fungal sp. mh2518.2
Lineage: Eukaryota; Fungi
Description: 5.8S ribosomal RNA
Rfam family: 5.8S ribosomal RNA
About the family: 5.8S ribosomal RNA (5.8S rRNA) is a component of the large subunit of the eukaryotic ribosome. It is transcribed by RNA polymerase I as part of the 45S precursor that also contains 18S and 28S rRNA.
Source: RNAcentral
AACUUUCAACAAUGGAUCUCUUGGCUCUGGCAUCGAUGAAGAACGCAGCGAAAUGCGAUAAGUAAUGUGAAUUGCAGAAUUCAGUGAAUCAUCGAAUCUUUGAACGCACAUUGCGCCCUCUGGUAUUCCGGAGGGCAUGCCUGUUUGAGUGUCA